This 258-nucleotide ribosomal RNA is filed under the name Thalassiosira minuscula. RNAcentral describes it as "partial Bacterial small subunit ribosomal RNA". It matches the Rfam family "Bacterial small subunit ribosomal RNA", at positions 533 to 790 of the family's 1533-position model. The record is from RNAcentral. Lineage: Eukaryota; Bacillariophyta; Thalassiosirophyceae; Thalassiosirales; Thalassiosiraceae.
UGCAAGCGUUAUCCGGAAUCAUUGGGUUUAAAGGGUCCGUAGGCGGGCAUAUAAGUCAGUGGUGAAAUGCUGUGGCUCAACCAUAGCACUGCCAUUGAUACUGUAUGUCUUGAAUUAUUGUGAAGUGGUUAGAAUAUGUAGUGUAGCGGUGAAAUGCUUAGAUAUUACAUAGAAUACCGAUUGCGAAGGCAGAUCACUAACAAUAUAUUGACGCUGAUGGACGAAAGCGUAGGUAGCGAACGGGAUUAGAUACCCCGG